AUGGUCUGCGUUUGGAAAGAUUUUUCGGUUGGGGAUGGGCUCGCGGCCUAUCAGCUUGUUGGUGAGGUAAUGGCUCACCAAGGCGUCGACGGGUAGCCGGCCUGAGAGGGUGACCGGCCACACUGGGACUGAGACACGGCCCAGACUCCUACGGGAGGCAGCAGUGGGGAAUAUUGCACAAUGGGCGAAAGCCUGAUGCAGCAACGCCGCGUGAGGGAUGACGGCCUUCGGGUUGUAAACCUCUUUUAGCAGGGAAGAAGCGAAAGUGACGGUACCUGCAGAAAAAGCGCCGGCUAACUACGUGCCAGCAGCCGCGGUAAUACGUAGGGCGCAAGCGUUAUCCGGAAUUAUUGGGCGUAAAGAGCUCGUAGGCGGUUUGUCGCGUCUGCUGUGAAAUCCCGAGGCUCAACCUCGGGCCUGCAGUGGGUACGGGCAGACUAGAGUGCGGUAGGGGAGAUUGGAAUUCCUGGUGUAGCGGUGGAAUGCGCAGAUAUCAGGAGGAACACCGAUGGCGAAGGCAGAUCUCUGGGCCGUAACUGACGCUGAGGAGCGAAAGGGUGGGGAGCAAACAGGCUUAGAUACCCUGGUAGUCCACCCCGUAAACGUUGGGAACUAGUUGUGGGGUCCAUUCCACGGAUUCCGUGACGCAGCUAACGCAUUAAGUUCCCCGCCUGGGGAGUACGGGCCGCAAGGCUAAAACUCAAAGGAAUUGACGGGGACCCGCACAAGCGGCGGAGCAUGCGGAUUAAUUCGAUGCAACGCGAAGAACCUUACCAAGGCUUGACAUAUACGAGAACGGGCCAGAAAUGGUCAACUCUUUGGACACUCGUAAACAGGUGGUGCAUGGUUGUCGUCAGCUCGUGUCGUGAGAUGUUGGGUUAAGUCCCGCAACGAGCGCAACCCUCGUUCUAUGUUGCCAGCACGUAAUGGUGGGAACUCAUGGGAUACUGCCGGGGUCAACUCGGAGGAAGGUGGGGAUGACGUCAAAUCAUCAUGCCCCUUAUGUCUUGGGCUUCACGCAUGCUACAAUGGCCGGUACAAAGGGCUGCAAUACCGUGAGGUGGAGCGAAUCCCAAAAAGCCGGUCCCAGUUCGGAUUGAGGUCUGCAACUCGACCUCAUGAAGUCGGAGUCGCUAGUAAUCGCAGAUCAGUAACGCUGCGGUGAAUACGUUCCCGGGUCUUGUACACACCGCCCGUCAAGUCAUGAAAGUCGGUAACACCUGAAGCCGGUGGCCUAACCCUUGUGG
This 1247-nucleotide ribosomal RNA is filed under the name Microbacterium sp. MCCC 1A11201. Its description in RNAcentral is "bacterial SSU rRNA". It matches the Rfam family "Bacterial small subunit ribosomal RNA", at positions 188 to 1446 of the family's 1533-position model. The record is from RNAcentral. Lineage: Bacteria; Bacillati; Actinomycetota; Actinomycetes; Micrococcales; Microbacteriaceae.